UACGUAGGGUGCAAGCGUUAAUCGGAAUUACUGGGCGUAAAGCGUGCGCAGGCGGUUUUGUAAGUCUGUCGUGAAAGCCCCGGGCUCAACCUGGGAAUUGCGAUGGAGACUGCAAGGCUUGAAUCUGGCAGAGGGGGGUAGAAUUCCACGUGUAGCAGUGAAAUGCGUAGAGAUGUGGAGGAACACCGAUGGCGAAGGCACCCCCCUGGGUCAAGAUUGACGCUCAUGCACGAAAGCGUGGGGAGCAAACAGG
This 253-nucleotide ribosomal RNA is filed under the name uncultured bacterium. Its description in RNAcentral is "partial 16S ribosomal RNA". It matches the Rfam family "Bacterial small subunit ribosomal RNA", at positions 524 to 776 of the family's 1533-position model. The record is from RNAcentral.